RNAcentral lists this long non-coding RNA (2684 nucleotides) under Gossypium barbadense (sea-island cotton). Its description in RNAcentral is "long non-coding RNA (GBAR_LNC022919)". Lineage: Eukaryota; Viridiplantae; Streptophyta; Magnoliopsida; Malvales; Malvaceae. The record is from RNAcentral.
UUCCCGGCAGUCUGUAAAGAAACCAAAAAAAGGGAAAAGGGGGUCUCUUUUCUCUGGAUGAAAUCCAGAUUCCGGCCAAAGGGCCGCCUUGUCUCCGCCGCACCGGCCGACGUAGCCGAGGCCAGAAAGUUCAAAGGUGAGUUUUUUUAUUUUUAUUUUUUUGUGUAUGUAUAUAUAUAAACUGUUCUUUUUUUAAAAAAAAUGUAGAUAUAUGUAUGUCGAAAGAAGAAAAGAAAAAACUCAAAAAAAAAACACAAGUAAAAUAGAACAGACGAAAAAAAGAAAAGAGCAGAAACGAGAAAAAAAAACUACCUUUAAAUUUUUUUUUGAUUGCCGUGUGAAAAAAAAAACUACAAAACUGUUUCAGGCUUUUAAAAAAUAGAGAGAUUGAAUUCUUUAAAAUAAAAAUUAAGUAUUAAAUUUUAAAUAUACAAAAAGUAAAUAAAUAUGAUAUCCUUUAAAUUUAUUCUUUUAAAAAUUGGGGAUUAAAUUUAAAAAGUACGUAUUAUAUUAUAUUUGAUCUUAAUCCUUCCUCACAUGGAUACAAAUGCAAAUAAGUAAAUUUUCCUAAAUUCCAUAUAAUUAUUAUAACCUAUCAAAUGCUUACCUUUUAUGCUUCUUUGCUUCCUGGUUAAGGUUUGGACCAUAGAUGACACCUACCAACUCCCAUUUUAUUCAUUCCUCUUACCCAAUUACAAAGAAAAUCAAAAUAGCAAGAUGCAGAGGCCAAGGUUUGAAUUGCCAGAAGCUUUGGUUAUGGAAAUUCUGUCAAAGCUUCCAGUUAAAUCCCUUACUCGCUUCAACUGUGUUUGUAAGUAUUGGUGUUCUUCUUUUCAAACUCCUCAUUUCAUUUCCAAUAAUUAUCACAACAACCUUGAAAACAACAACCUUAAUCUACUGCUUAGUCGCUGUGAUGGUAACACCUUCCAACGUUAUUUCUCUCAACUUUCAAAUGAAAAAGAUCAAAAUUAUAUAGUAAAACAAAACAUUCACUUGCCCUUUUUUAGGAAUGAUCUCCCCUAUGUUUAUGGUGCUUGUCAUGGAUUAUUGUGUUUACUUGAUCCUUUAAAGGAUAAGGCUGCCAUUUGGAACCCAUCAACCAGAGAGUUUAAAAUCCUUCCACCAUCUUCAAUCCAACGCCCUCCAUAUUUUUCCCCAUUCGAAGAAACCUACCUUACUUUAGAUGACGUUGAUUUUGACCACGCUGCUUUUGGGUUUGACUCUAAAACUGAUGACUACAAAGUCAUACGAUUUGUUACUCUUACUUUUGUUAAUAGUGAAGAACAAUAUCCACAUCCUCAUUUUAUGUACCAAGUUGAGUUGUAUUCUCUUAGAAGUAAUUCCUGGCAGGAAAUUCCAUGUCCUGAUUAUAAACCAACUGGAACAACUUUGGGAAAUAAUUAUGUAGACGGAAUUUGCUAUUGGAAAACAGAGACAGGGGCAUAUCUUGAUUUUAGAGGACUAAUUCUUUCAUUUGACAUGGGGAAUGAGAAGUUCUCAAUUUUACCUAUCCCAGAAUUCGUUGGGUCUUUCCCAGAAUACUUUGUUAAUCUAUUGGUGUUUAAUGGAUCACUUGGUGCUAUUGUUUACCCAACGGAAGGAAUUGACACGUCUUUUGAUUUAUGGGUUACAAGUGAAGGAGUGUGGACUAAACAAUUCAAUAUUAAAUCCAUUUCUGGAGUUGUACGCCCAUUGGGAUUUGGAAAAAAUGGUGACUUGUUUCUUAGAGACACAAAUGAUGAAGUACUCCUAUUUGACGCCUCCACCCAAGAGCUUAAGGAGCUUCAGAUUAAUACUUAUCUAGAUCAUUUUCGGUUCACCAUCUCCCUUCAUGCUUAUUUAGAGAGCCUGGUUCGUAUCAAUGGAAUACAAGAGAAUAUUGAGAAACAUGUAAUACGUCAACCAGCGAGAGAUGCAUCAAAUGAAUACUAAAUAUGAAGAAGGCAUGAAAUGGAUACUGAAUAUGAAGAGGGAUGCGGAGCUAGAACAUAUAUGUGUAAGAUGUAAUAGGAAUUUUUUGUUGUGAGCUUCUUAAUAUUGCUGUUAUUGUUUGGGUUAUAUGUUUGAGAUGUUAACUAUUUCCUGGUUUCUGUAUUUGGAGAAUUGUUCAGUUUAUAUUUGGUUUUUGUUGGUUAGAUAUCUAUAAGAUUGCUUAGAUGUUGAUAUUGUUUUCUGCGGAAAAAAAUUGCAAGUCGAAGAGGAUUUGAUGUUUAAGGUUGUCAUUAACUAAUUAAAAUAAUUGCUGUAAGUGGCAUAAUUUUUAUAACUUAAUCCAAAACAGGUCUCACCUGAUGGUUAAGAUUCUUAAACAGAUGAAGAUCCGAUGAACACCACAACACAGCACGAGCAUCGAAUCAGCCACAAAUCCAUGUUGCCAUGAUCCCAUUUCGUUCGAGUGAGUGAAAUUAUGGUACUUUUUUCAAGUUACCUUGUGUUACAAGCUUGUGUGUUAAUUGCUUUAACUACUAUAAAAUUCAAUCUGCAUUCACUUUCAAAAGAAAAUCCUCUCUAUUCUGAAUGAUGGUUUGAGUUUUGCCAUCCCUAAAUAAUAGGGAUGAUAUCUUAAAGAUCAAAUAUGAUUUGAGAAAACUAGCUACACUUGGAUUUCAUUUCUCACUCCAGCAUACGAGUUUGCAAAAUAGCACAGAGACAGUCUGGAUUGCUAAGCUUUUUCUCUAUUAUAG